CUGAAAUCUCAAGCCUGAGGCAGCCACAGCUUCUCUCCAAAACCCGUGUCUUAAGGAAGGAGAUUUACAACCUUACAAAGACCAUCAUUAGGCUAUGAUGUGCUGGGGCCACAACUUGACCAAGACUGCUUGGACAUGCACAUCCUUCAUCUCACUCAGGACUCUGAAGGACAGGUGACCAAACCUGGCUUUUCAGGGUACAGACUGUGACCCCCAAGGCCCCUCAUGGCACACCUCCUGCUUCCCCUGGACACUGACCAUUCUCACCCAUUCCCUCUCGGAGCAGGUGACAGG
Peromyscus maniculatus bairdii (prairie deer mouse) is the source of this 294-nucleotide non-coding RNA. The record is from RefSeq and is a predicted model, not a curated record. NCBI's taxonomy places the organism in Eukaryota, Metazoa, Chordata, Mammalia, Rodentia, Cricetidae.